ACCAACCAACCAAACCCAAGCAAGCCGCUUCCCCUUCGGAUCACGCCGGGCAUGCGCCGCGCCACCGCCGCCGCCGCAGCAGCAGCAGCCUGAGGGGGACGAGGAGGAGGGGGAGGGAUGGAGGCGGGCGGCGGGAGCGCGUCCUCGCUGCCGCCGUUCCUGAGCAAGACGUACGAGAUGGUGGACGACCCGGCCACGGACGCCGUGGUGGCGUGGACGCCGCCGGGGACCAGCUUCGUCGUCGCCAACCAGGCCGAGUUCUGCAGGGAUCUGCUCCC
This 278-nucleotide long non-coding RNA is filed under the name Setaria italica (foxtail millet). Its description in RNAcentral is "long non-coding RNA (SITA_LNC004000)". The record is from RNAcentral. Lineage: Eukaryota; Viridiplantae; Streptophyta; Magnoliopsida; Poales; Poaceae.